This 55-nucleotide long non-coding RNA is filed under the name Vicia faba (fava bean). Lineage: Eukaryota; Viridiplantae; Streptophyta; Magnoliopsida; Fabales; Fabaceae. The record is from RNAcentral.
AUGCAAAUCCUAAAGCCAUUGUUUAUUGAUACUGGAAUAAUCUUAAGCCAAAUUG